Molecule: long non-coding RNA, 1370 nt
Organism: Homo sapiens (human)
Lineage: Eukaryota; Metazoa; Chordata; Mammalia; Primates; Hominidae
Source: Ensembl
ACAGUAUAGGUUUGAAAAAGGAAAGUUUUAUUAGAAAGAAAGAACGUGCCUUUCCAGCCCCCCACCCGGACCCUACAGCCACCGAGAUGUUGAUGCCUAAGAAGAACUGGAUUGCCAUUUAUGAACUCCUUUUUAAGGAGGGAGUCAUGGUGGCCAAGAAGGAUGUCCACAUGCCUAAGCACCCGGAGCUGGCAGACAAGAAUGCGCCCAACCUUCGUGUCAUGAAGGCCAUGCAGUCUCUCAAGUCCCGAGGCUACGUGAAGGAAGUUUGCCUGGAGACAUUUCUACUGGUACCUUACCAAUGAGGGUAUCCAGUAUCUCUGUGAUUACCUUCAUCUGCCCUCGGAGAUUGUGCCUGCCACCUUACACCGCAGCUGUCCAGAGACUGGCAGGCCUUGGCCUAAAGUCUGGAGGGUGAGCGACCUGCAAGACUCACAAGAGGGGAAGCCAACAGAGAUACCUACAAACGGAGUGCUGUGCCCCCUGGUGCCAACAAGAAAGCCGAGGCUGGGGCCGGGUCAGCAACCAAAUUCCAGUUCAGAGAUGGAUUUGGUUGUGGACGUGGUCAGCCACCUCAGUAAAAUUGGAGAGGAUUAUUAUGCGAUGAAUAAACUUACAGUCAAAAAAAAAAAAGAAAGAAAGCUGCAGAAGAGUGCAGUGAGGUGCCUCAGCAUGAGAAAAGAAGCCAUGGAAAUAAAUAAGGAGCUGUUGAAGUUGCCAGCUCCCUGGAGUAACUGUGUAAACCUCCGGUCUUCUAUUCUCAUGGCCAAUAGUGCUUCCACUGGUCAAAACUCAAGCCUCAAGAUAAAGCAUGUAAAUAGCUUAAGAAGAGCAGUGCUGGUGCCUGGGGGAGAGGAGCCAGUCAGGACCUUCAGCUUCCCAGGGAAACUUGGAUUGAGUAGAAUGUAGCAAUCUCACUUUGCAGCGUGUCCUUCAGCAAGUCACUUACUCUCUCUGUACUCCAACUUCGUCCUCUGAAAAAUUAAAGAAUCCAACUGGAUCAUCUCCAAGAUCCUUUCCAAUUGAGAAAUUCCAUCACCUGUGAUGAUUUUUCUGUACAAUGCAAUUUGGGAAGGACACUAGCAUUUAUGGAACCACUGAUAUGUGCCAGAUCUUUCACAUGUGUUGUUAUUUCCACUUUAAGUGUAAGAACAAUAUCAAGUUCAGAGAUGUGAAAGAAGUGGUCCAAGGUCAAUCAUCCAGUACCUGGAGGACUCUAGAUUCAAACCCACAUUUAUGAGACUGUAAAACCAUUGCUCUUUUUCAUGAUACCAUGUUUUUAGGGACUGCCCAUCUAAUGGUUCCUUACAAGACAGAGCUGCAUAUAGAGGGGGAAAUGUAACCUACUCUAUAUGCAGCUAUAAAAACAA